Molecule: ribosomal RNA, 1342 nt
Filed under: uncultured bacterium
Lineage: Bacteria
Description: 16S ribosomal RNA
Rfam family: Bacterial small subunit ribosomal RNA
Source: RNAcentral
GACGAACGCUGGCGGCGUGCUUAACACAUGCAAGUCGAACGGAAAGGCCCUGCUUUUGUGGGGUGCUCGAGUGGCGAACGGGUGAGUAACACGUGAGUAACCUGCCCUUGACUUUGGGAUAACUUCAGGAAACUGGGGCUAAUACCGGAUAGGAGCUCCUGCUGCAUGGUGGGGGUUGGAAAGUCUCGGCGGUUGGGGAUGGACUCGCGGCUUAUCAGCUUGUUGGUGGGGUAGUGGCUUACCAAGGCUUUGACGGGUAGCCGGCCUGAGAGGGUGACCGGCCACAUUGGGACUGAGAUACGGCCCAGACUCCUACGGGAGGCAGCAGUGGGGAAUAUUGCACAAUGGGCGGAAGCCUGACGCAGCAACGCCGCGUGCGGGAUGACGGCCUUCGGGUUGUAAACCGCUUUCGCCUGUGACGAAGCGUGAGUGACGGUAAUGGGUAAAGAAGCACCGGCUAACUACGUGCCAGCAGCCGCGGUGAUACGUAGGGUGCGAGCGUUGUCCGGAUUUAUUGGGCGUAAAGGGCUCGUAGGUGGUUGAUCGCGUCGGAAGUGUAAUCUUGGGGCUUAACCCUGAGCGUGCUUUCGAUACGGGUUGACUUGAGGAAGGUAGGGGAGAAUGGAAUUCCUGGUGGAGCGGUGGAAUGCGCAGAUAUCAGGAGGAACACCAGUGGCGAAGGCGGUUCUCUGGGCCUUUCCUGACGCUGAGGAGCGAAAGCGUGGGGAGCGAACAGGCUUAGAUACCCUGGUAGUCCACGCUGUAAACGGUGGGUACUAGGUGUGGGGUCCAUUCCACGGGUUCCGUGCCGUAGCUAACGCUUUAAGUACCCCGCCUGGGGAGUACGGCCGCAAGGCUAAAACUCAAAGGAAUUGACGGGGCCCCGCACAAGCGGCGGAGCAUGCGGAUUAAUUCGAUGCAACGCGUAGAACCUUACCUGGGUUUGACAUGGAUCGGGAGCGCUCAGAGAUGGGUGUGCCUCUUUUGGGGUCGGUUCACAGGUGGUGCAUGGCUGUCGUCAGCUCGUGUCGUGAGAUGUUGGGUUAAGUCCCGCAACGAGCGCAACCCUUGUUCACUGUUGCCAGCACGUUAUGGUGGGGACUCAGUGGAGACCGCCGGGGUCAACUCGGAGGAAGGUGGGGAUGACGUCAAGUCAUCAUGCCCCUUAUGUCAGGGCCUCACGCAUGCUACAAUGGCUGGUACAGAGAGUGGCGAGCCUGUGAGGGUGAGCGAAUCUCGGAAAGCCGGUCUCAGUUCGGAUUGGGGUCUGCAACUCGACCUCAUGAAGUCGGAGUCGCUAGUAAUCGCAGAUCAGCAACGCUGCGGUGAAUACGUUCCCGGG